This 504-nucleotide ribosomal RNA is filed under the name uncultured bacterium. RNAcentral's name for it is "bacterial SSU rRNA". It matches the Rfam family "Bacterial small subunit ribosomal RNA", at positions 8 to 474 of the family's 1533-position model. The record is from RNAcentral.
AGAGUUUGAUCAUGGCUCAGAUUGAACGCUGGCGGUAUGCUUAACACAUGCAAGUCGAACGGUAACAGUCCCUCACCUAGAAAUUUCUUAAAAAGAGAUUUGUAGGUGAGGGAGCUGACGAGUGGCGGACGGGUGCGUAAUGUAUAGGAAUCUGCCUAGUAGUGGGGGACAACUCGGAGAAAUUCGAGCUAAUACCGCAUAAGCCCUACGGGGGAAAACGGGGGAUCUUCGGACCUCGUGCUAUUAGAUGAGCCUAUAUUAGAUUAGCUUGUUGGUGAGGUAAUGGCUUACCAAGGCGACGAUCUAUAGCUGGUCUGAGAGGAUGAUCAGCCACACUGGGACUGAGACACGGCCCAGACUCCUACGGGAGGCAGCAGUGGGGAAUAUUGGACAAUGGGCGAAAGCCUGAUCCAGCAAUACCGCGUGUGUGAAGAAGGCCUGAGGGUUGUAAAGCACUUUCAAUUGGGAGGAAUACCUAAUAGUUAAUACGCUAUUAGAUUGACA